RNAcentral lists this ribosomal RNA (332 nucleotides) under uncultured bacterium. RNAcentral describes it as "bacterial SSU rRNA". It matches the Rfam family "Bacterial small subunit ribosomal RNA", at positions 962 to 1294 of the family's 1533-position model. The record is from RNAcentral.
GCAAGAACCUUACCAAGGCUUGACAUGCACGGGAAUGUCGUGAAACACGGCAUGCCCUUCGGGGCUCGUGCACAGGUGGUGCAUGGCUGUCGUCGGCUCGUGUCGUGAGAUGUUGGGUUAANUCCCGCAACGAAGCGCAACCCCUAUCCUAUGUUGCCAGCGUGAAAGACGGGGACUCAUAGGAAACUGCCGGUGACAAAUCGGAGGAAGGUGGGGAUGAGGUCAAGUCAUCAUGCCCCUUAUGUCUUGGGCUACAAACGUGCUACAUUGGCCGGUACAAAGGGCUGCAAACCUGCGAGGGUGAGCGAAUCCCAAAAAACCGGUCUCGGUUC